This 535-nucleotide ribosomal RNA is filed under the name Staphylococcus epidermidis. RNAcentral describes it as "bacterial LSU rRNA". It matches the Rfam family "Bacterial large subunit ribosomal RNA", at positions 771 to 1309 of the family's 2925-position model. Lineage: Bacteria; Bacillati; Bacillota; Bacilli; Caryophanales; Staphylococcaceae. The record is from RNAcentral.
GGACCGAACCGACUUACGUUGAAAAGUGAGCGGAUGAACUGAGGGUAGCGGAGAAAUUCCAAUCGAACUUGGAGAUAGCUGGUUCUCUCCGAAAUAGCUUUAGGGCUAGCCUCAAGUGAUGAUUAUUGGAGGUAGAGCACUGUUUGGACGAGGGGCCCCUCUCGGGUUACCGAAUUCAGACAAACUCCGAAUGCCAAUUAAUUUAACUUGGGAGUCAGAACAUGGGUGAUAAGGUCCGUGUUCGAAAGGGAAACAGCCCAGACCACCAGCUAAGGUCCCAAAAUAUAUGUUAAGUGGAAAAGGAUGUGGCGUUGCCCAGACAACUAGGAUGUUGGCUUAGAAGCAGCCAUCAUUUAAAGAGUGCGUAAUAGCUCACUAGUCGAGUGACACUGCGCCGAAAAUGUACCGGGGCUAAACAUAUUACCGAAGCUGUGGAUUGUCCUUUGGACAAUGGUAGGAGAGCGUUCUAAGGGCGUCGAAGCAUGAUCGCAAGGACAUGUGGAGCGCUUAGAAGUGAGAAUGCCGGUGUGAGUAG